This is a non-coding RNA of Pelobates cultripes (western spadefoot toad), 436 nucleotides long. The record is from the annotation of a GenBank genome assembly. Lineage: Eukaryota; Metazoa; Chordata; Amphibia; Anura; Pelobatidae.
GCUCUGUCCUUAAGGGGUUAAAAAAGGUAACAGUGAUUCAGCAUUACAGAAUGCUCCAAUGUUCUCAAUAUGCAGAGAAAUUCCCAAGGUUUUAUUAUACUGCUUGCAAAUUAUAACGAAGAAGCAUAUUUAUGGUACUUGGUGCAUAUCAACAAACUUUGGAAGGUAAGCAAUCUGGUUGGACUGUGUGGGCCAGUAAAGGGAGUGCCAGUGAUCUAACUAGCUGGCUUUCUUGCUGGACAAAUCAUGGCGAGAUCAUGUAGAGCUAUUCUGCAUGGUCAUAGUGCCCUCAUGACAGCGUGUGCGUUUAAUAAUACACUUGUACUGUGCUGGCUGGGGACAGUUUCAUGCUAAUGCAUGUCACAGGGAAACAAAAUCAAGAUGACACGACAGACUGUAUUUUAGCAAUCAUCGACGGUCCGUGGUUCAGUUCUCU